RNAcentral lists this ribosomal RNA (164 nucleotides) under uncultured bacterium. RNAcentral describes it as "partial 16S ribosomal RNA". It matches the Rfam family "Bacterial small subunit ribosomal RNA", at positions 355 to 511 of the family's 1533-position model. The record is from RNAcentral.
UAGGGAAUCUUCCACAAUGGACGAAAGUCUGAUGGAGCAACGCCGCGUGAGUGAAGAAGGGUUUCGGCUCGUAAAACUCUGUUGUUAAAGAAGAACAUAUCUGAGAGUAACUGUUCAGGUAUUGACGGUAUCUAACCAGAAAGCCACGGCUAACUACGUGCCAA